RNAcentral lists this ribosomal RNA (253 nucleotides) under uncultured bacterium. RNAcentral's name for it is "partial 16S ribosomal RNA". It matches the Rfam family "Bacterial small subunit ribosomal RNA", at positions 524 to 776 of the family's 1533-position model. The record is from RNAcentral.
UACGUAGGGGCCGAGCGUUGUCCGGAAUUAUUGGGCGUAAAGAGCGUGUAGGCGGUUUGGCAAGUCUACUGUGAAAUCCUGGGGCUCAACCCUGGGCGUGCAGCCGAUACUGCCAGGCUAGAGGAAGGUAGAGGCGAGUGGAAUUCCGGGUGUAGCGGUGAAAUGCGCAGAUAUUCGGAGGAACACCAGUAGCGAAGGCGGCUCGCUGGGCCAUACCUGACGCUGAGACGCGAAAGCGUGGGGAGCGAACAGG